Molecule: ribosomal RNA, 465 nt
Filed under: uncultured bacterium
Lineage: Bacteria
Description: partial 16S ribosomal RNA
Rfam family: Bacterial small subunit ribosomal RNA
Source: RNAcentral
CUACGGGACGCUGCAGUGGGGAAUAUUGGACAAUGGGGGAAACCCUGACCCAGCAAUGCCGCGUGUGUGAAGAAGGCCUGCGGGUUGUAAAGCACUUUCGGUUGGGAGGACUGCUUCUAGCACUAAUAUUGUUGGAAGUUGACGUUACCUUCAGAAGAAGCACCGGCUAACUCCGUGCCAGCAGCCGCGGUAAUACGGAGGGUGCCAGCGUUAAUCGGAAUUACUGGGCGUAAAGCGCGCGUAGGCGGCUAGAUCAGUCGGGUGUGAAAGCCCCGGGCUUAACCUGGGAACUGCAUCCGAUACUGUCUAGCUUGAGUACAGGAGAGGAGAGUGGAAUUCCACGUGUAGCGGUGAAAUGCGUAGAUAUGUGGAGGAACACCAAUGGCGAAGGCAGCUCUCUGGCCUGAUACUGACGCUGAGGUGCGAAAGCGUGGGGAGCAAACAGGAUUAGAUACCCGCGUAGUC